UCUGCCUGAUAGUGGGGGAUAACUUGCCGAAAGGUAAGCUAAUACCGCGUACGUCCUACGGGAGAAAGCAGGGGAUCUUCGGACCUUGCGCUAUCAGAUGAGCCCAGGCCGGAUUAGCUAGUUGGUGGGGUAAUGGCCCACCAAGGCGACGAUCCGUAGCUGGUCUGAGAGGAUGAUCAGCCACACCGGGACUGAGACACGGCCCGGACUCCUACGGGAGGCAGCAGUGGGGAAUAUUGGACAAUGGGGGGAACCCUGAUCCAGCCAUGCCGCGUGUGUGAAGAAGGUCUUCGGAUUGUAAAGCACUUUAAGUUGGGAGGAAGGGCUUUAGGUUAAUACCCUGAAGUUUUGACGUUACCAACAGAAUAAGCACCGGCUAACUUCGUGCCAGCAGCCGCGGUAAUACGAAGGGUGCAAGCGUUAAUCGGAAUUACUGGGCGUAAAGCGCGCGUAGGUGGUUUGGUAAGUUGGAAGUGAAAGCCCCGGGCUUAACCUGGGAAUGGCUUUCAAAACUGCUAAGCUAGAGUACGGUAGAGGGUAGUGGAAUUUCCUGUGUAGCGGUGAAAUGCGUACAUAUAGGAAGGAACAUCAGUGGCGAAGGCGACUACCUG
RNAcentral lists this ribosomal RNA (611 nucleotides) under uncultured bacterium. Its description in RNAcentral is "bacterial SSU rRNA". It matches the Rfam family "Bacterial small subunit ribosomal RNA", at positions 125 to 731 of the family's 1533-position model. The record is from RNAcentral.